This 1591-nucleotide long non-coding RNA is filed under the name Setaria italica (foxtail millet). Its description in RNAcentral is "long non-coding RNA (SITA_LNC003658)". The record is from RNAcentral. Lineage: Eukaryota; Viridiplantae; Streptophyta; Magnoliopsida; Poales; Poaceae.
CCUGUUCUUUCUCGAGCUCUCCUCCCAGGUAGGUGAUAGUGUUAGGGUUUAUCGAUUUCGAUCGAUUUUUCAUUUCCCUUGUUGAGUUUCCCCAAUUCGUGCCUAGUAAAUGAGUUCCGCAUGCUCUGUUUAGUUUGGGUUCUGGAUUUUGAACCUGUUUUGUGGAUGAUUCGAACCCCAGUCAGGAAUUAGUUUGAUGUUCUUCUUGUUAAGUUCAGUGGUUAGGAGUCGAUUCGGUAGGCAACAUCUCUCAUGAUUCAUGGAUCUAUUUCUUCAGUUGUGGAUUCACAUGUUUUUGCUGUCCCUUUGGGGUGGUGCGUCAUUUUUUGAUUGAUGAUUUAGAGGGUGUUUGGAUACACCCUGCUAAACUUUAGCACAUGUCACAUAGAAUGUUUGGAUACUAAUUAGGAGUAUUAAACAUAGUCUAAUUACAAAACUAAUUCCACAUAUGGAGUCUAAUUCGCGAGACGAAUCUAUUAAGCCUAAUUAGUCCAUGAUUUGAUAAUGUGGUGCUACAGUAACCAUUUGCUAAUGAUGGAUUAAUUAGCUUUAAUAGAUUCGUCUUGCGAAUUAGACUCCAUCUGUGCAAUUAGUUUUAUAAUUCGCUCAUGUUUAGUCCUUCUAAUUAGCAUCCGAACAUCCGAUGUGACCCUGCUAAAGUUUAGCACCUCGUAUCCAAACACCCUCUUAAUCAUCUUGAGGGUUUUGCCUACUGAAUUUGUUUAGUUAUUCAACAAUUUUCCAUUUAUGUAGGAUUUGAUGUUUAGAUGCGUACUCUUUGCUGAUUCGUUUGCUUGUAGAUGAUUUUGGAUCUGUGUGCUAUAAAAGCCUGAAAUGAUUUGGGUCAAGUAGAUUUAUAACUGGUUGGUACAUGCUUAGGUUUGUGAUUGUGCGUAUGCUAUGAUUUUUUAAAUUCAGUGUGAAAUAAUUAUUGUAUGCCUCAAGAUUUUAUCGUUUAAAACUAUCAUUGCGAUUUUAUAUGCUUUGAUUUUGCCUAACUUGUAUUUGCUAAUAGACAUUUUAAUCAGGUUACUUGUCGUUAUAGUUCAUUCUAUUUUUUGCUUUACAUAUUGUGCAGUAAGGUGCAUUAUACAUUUUCCUUGCAAAAUUGGUGUAUAGUAUACUACCCUUGGCUGCUGUAUGCAACAACUUAUGCUGUGAUUCUAGUAUUAUUUAACUGAUUAAGUUUCCCAUGCAUUCUCUUUUUGAUAUUUUCAAUUACAUGUCCAAAUGCAAUUCCUAGUUAUGUAUUUUGUUUAAAUGGGCUGUUUUUAAUUUCAGAUGGUCUGGAAACACUCUUCUCAUGUAGUUGAUUUAACUAGUGGGAAUCUGAAGACCCUGAGGAGUGAGGAUGUACAAUGUUCACAGUUACCAAGUAUUUAUUUCUGAUAUGCCUUACUUCUGACAAUGAAAUUCAGUCUGAUGUCUGUAUGUUAUCCCCAUGUUGUUUAAUAUUGAUGUUUUUGCAUUUUAUUUCUAAAGUUUUCAAGUGCUUAUUGUGAUAUUCCAUGUUUACUCUGCCCAUGUCAUUUUCAUGCUGAAAUGAAGUCGUCCUCUUCUUCUGGUAAUCUCCUAGAAUCAUAUGCUUGAA